AAUUCUUUCAAGCCCUAUAUCACUUGUGAGUGUUUGUGAGGUCUUAUUUCGAUUGAGCUUGGUAGAAAGUGUUAGGUUCUUAACGACAGAGAUAGUGUCUCAUGUAGUUCUAGUUCGCCUUCUUCGGACUGGAUAGGACUAGGUGGGCGCUUAUAUCAUGGGUUGGGAUGUGUUUAAAAGAAAAGGGUGAAUUCAUUGUUGAUAAGGAAAGGGAAAGGAUUCUAGGGGAAGUAAGCUAAAGAAGUUAGAAAAAAAUCUAGUAAAGGUUUUGGGAAUGUUAAUGAAAAGAAUGAGGUUCUUGUUAGCUAAAGAAGAAGGGUUAAAAGCCUUUGGUUUUAAAGAUUAAAAACAGGAACCUUAGUUGUUAAAGAAAUCUAA
Molecule: small RNA, 378 nt
Filed under: Arabidopsis thaliana (thale cress)
Lineage: Eukaryota; Viridiplantae; Streptophyta; Magnoliopsida; Brassicales; Brassicaceae
Description: ATSL273260
Source: RNAcentral